This is a long non-coding RNA of Callithrix jacchus (white-tufted-ear marmoset), 3143 nucleotides long. NCBI's taxonomy places the organism in Eukaryota, Metazoa, Chordata, Mammalia, Primates, Cebidae. The record is from Ensembl.
GGCCUCAGGGCUGCCCUCCUGCCCUUCCCCCACACCUCCUGUGACUGCCUCUUAAAUGGGUACUCAGGGUGAUAAGGAGGCACAGGUGAGGGAGCCAGGCUGGAUCCACACCCACCCAUGCCCGUUGUUAGGAAAACAAGCUUUUAUUGCCUGGCCCUGCUGCUGGUGUCUGAGAGUAUAAAAUGGGACCCAGAGCCAGCCUCUCCCUUCCUCUCAGUCACACCAAGGCAACAGUGUUUAAAAGGAAAGGAGGCAGUGGCAUGGAGGCUCCAGAGACUGAGCCAUUCCUAUGGAAAAGGGAGGCAGUGGGGACCCUGCUGAGGGCCACCUGGCAGGUGUUCCAUUCUACCUUUCUCAUGGGACCCACAGCCUCUUCAUCAGUGAUGUCUUCAGGUUCACCGUCCCCAAGCUGCUUAGGCUUUUUCUGGAGUUUACUGGUGAUCGCAAGUCUCCGGCCUGGUAGGGCUACCUCCUCGCGGUGCUGAUGUUCCUCUCGGCCUGCCUGCACACGCUGUUUAAGCAGCUGAACACGUGCCGGCUCAAGGUGCUGCAGAUGAGGCUGCAGUCUGCCAUCGCUGGCCUGGUGUACAGAAAGGUGAGCCCCGGGGACAAGUGCAGGUCUUCCCAGCCGGGAAAAGGCACAAAACUGAACUGGUUGGUAGUAAUGCUAUCAGCGGCUGAGAACUUAAGGUCCUUACUUAUUAGAGUCACUCACGAUAUAUUCUCACUUCCUUUGUUAUUUCUCUUUACUUGUAUGUAUUUUUUCAAUUAAGAGUCUCCACCCGCCGUGACCUCCUAGAGUUCUGGGAUUACUGGCGUGAGCCACCUCGCCCGGCCUCCCUUCCUUCUUAAGUCUGAGUCAUCUUCUGCUGUGCAGAUGGAUCACACUGUGUUUACCUUUUCAUCUUAUGGUGGACACCUCAGGUGGUUUUGCCUUUUGGCUGUUGUGAAUCAUGCUGCUGUGAGCACAGGUGUGCAAACACCUCCCUGAGUUCCUGCUUUAUAUUCUUUUGGGAUGGAUGGAAGUGGCUUUGUUAGAGCAAAUGGUAAUGCUGUGUGUAAGUGUUUUGAGGGACCACCGUUUGUAAAGUGUUUGUUGUUGUUGAGAUGGAGUCUCACUGUGUCACCCAGGUGGGAGUGGAGUGGUGUGAUCUGGCUUCACUGCAACCUCCCUCCCAGGUUCAAGCCAUUCUCAUGCCUCGGCCUCCUGAGCACCUGAGAUUACAGGCACCUGCCACCACAUCUGGCUCAUAUUUGUAUUUUUAGUAGAGACAGGGUUUCACAAUGUUGGCCAGGCUGGUCUCAAACUCCUGGCCUCAGGUGAUCCGUCUACCUCGGCGUCCCAGAAUGUUGGGAUUACAGGUGUGAGCCACCUCACCUGGCUCUUGUAAAGUGUUUAAAUCAUCCUGUUUUACUGUUCUUCAGCUGGGGUUAUGAUCUCAGCCCUGCUUCUCUCUGCUCCUGCUAAGGGACUCUCUGUAGGCAGCCCAGUCCCUGCCUCUGUCCAGGAGACAGCAUACCUGAAAGUGAAGUUGGGUCCGUCCUGCCUCAGUGCCGCUUCUGUUUUAAGUAAAUAUCCUGUGGGGUCAGGAGAGAAAAUCCCAAGUGCACCUGUGGAACACCAUGGGCAUCCCCAAACUCAGGACUGUGGGAGAGAUGAGGUGUUGGAGGAGAGGUAAAUCUGGAAGCUGCUUCGCCCCACUCUGUCCCCUGUCCCGACUUUUUUUUUUUUUUGAGAUGAAGUCUUGCUCUGUCAUUCAGGCCUGGAGUGCAGUGAUGCAAUCUUGGCUCACUGCAACCUCUGCCUCCCGGGUUCAAGAGAUUCUCCUGCCUCAUCCACCUCAGUAGCUGGGACCACAGGUGAGUGCUACCACACCUGGCUAAUUUUUGCAUUUUUAGUAGAGCUGGGGUUUCGCUAUGUUGGCCAGGCUGGUCUUCAACUCCUGACUCUAGGCGAUCCACCCACCUUGGCCUCUCAAAGUGCUGGUAUUCCAGGUGUGAGCCACUGCGCUCAGCCAAGCCCUGUUCCAUUCUAAUCCCACCACCUGUGAAGGCUUCUGGGUGCUCACAGAAACAACGGCCCCACUAUGACGGCUCCCACUCCCUUGGUCUCAGAGUUCUGGGGACGCACAGUGAGGAGUAAUUGUUUUCCUCACUCAUCUGGAUGUGAUGAGCCUGGUCAAAGAAGUUUGCUGUUGCUGACUUGCAGCUGGUCAGGUCCCUGCCCUGUGGAAAUUGCCCCUACUAAAUCCUUAUGCCUCAGUUUACCGAGCUAACUCAGACCUCCAGCCCUGCCCCAGGCUGGGUUAGGCUCCCCCCAUCUCACCAUGUGGGAAUCUCCAUGUGAUACUUUAUUUACUUAUUUGUUGAGACGGGAUCUUCCUCUGUCACCCAGACUGGAGUGCAGUGGUAGUCUCAGCUCACUGCAACCUCUGCCUUCAUGUCCAAGUGAUCCUCCUACCUCAGCCUACUGAGUAGCUGGAAUUAUAGGCACAUGCUACCACGGUCUGAUAAUUUUUAUAUUUUUAGUAGAGACGAGGUUUCUCCAUGUUGGUCAGGUGGGUCUCAAACUCUUGAUCUUGUGAUCUGCCCACCUCAGCCUCCCAAAGAUCUGGGAUUACAAACCCACCGCGCCUGACCUGUGUGGCACUUCAAUGAAGUCAGGUGUAUAGUUGAUGGCUGCGUGAUCAUCUUCCCACCACGGGGCAGGGCUAAAAGCUGUGUUGUCUGGAAAUUUCUCAGCUCUUUAUGCUGGUAAGGGAAGGAGGAAGAGGGGGCCCUCAGGGGACAUGCAGCGAGGUUUGGUGGGGACAUAGCUCAUCAGGUUGUACUUGGUGUUCCCAUGUAACUUGUAACCGCUCUCAUAGAAGGUGGCCUAGAACCCUAGGGAGUAGGGGUUGCUCUCUUUCACCUAGGGGUGGGGAGAAGAGAAGCUGAAGCUAUACAGAGCCAGCAGGCAGGACAGGGCAACCACGGCCAGGUGCCGUGGCUAAUGCCUGUAAUUACAGCAGUUUGGGAGGCUGAGGCAGGUGGACCAUUUGAGGUCAGGAGUUUGAGACCAGCUGGCCAACAUGGUGCAACCCCGUCUCUACUAAAAAUACAAAAUUAGCCAGGCAUGCUACUCAGGAGGGUGAUGCAGGAGA